Molecule: transfer RNA, 74 nt
Filed under: Lachnospiraceae bacterium oral taxon 500
Lineage: Bacteria; Bacillati; Bacillota; Clostridia; Lachnospirales; Lachnospiraceae
Also listed under: 2 other names
Description: tRNA-Met
Rfam family: tRNA
About the family: Transfer RNA (tRNA) molecules are approximately 80 nucleotides in length. Their secondary structure includes four short double-helical elements and three loops (D, anti-codon, and T loops).
Source: RNAcentral
GGGCCUUUAGCUCAGUUGGUUAGAGCAACCGGCUCAUAACCGGUCGGUCUAGGGUUCGAGUCCCUGAAGGCCCA